Molecule: ribosomal RNA, 253 nt
Filed under: uncultured bacterium
Lineage: Bacteria
Description: partial 16S ribosomal RNA
Rfam family: Bacterial small subunit ribosomal RNA
Source: RNAcentral
UACGGAGGGUGCAAGCGUUAUCCGGAUUCACUGGGUUUAAAGGGUGCGUAGGCGGCUUUGUAAGUCAGUGGUGAAAUAUGGCAGCUCAACUGUCAAGGUGCCAUUGAUACUGCGGAGCUUGAGUACAGAUGAGGUAGGCGGAAUUGACGGUGUAGCGGUGAAAUGCGUAGAGAUCGGCAGGAACACCCAGGGGGAAACCAGUCGACUGGGCAGCACCUGACGCUGAGGUGCGAGAGCGUGGGGAGCGAACCGG